Melanotaenia boesemani (Boeseman's rainbowfish) is the source of this 712-nucleotide long non-coding RNA. RefSeq lists it as uncharacterized. The transcript has 2 exons. Lineage: Eukaryota; Metazoa; Chordata; Actinopteri; Atheriniformes; Melanotaeniidae. The record is from RefSeq and is a predicted model, not a curated record.
UCUACAGAACCAGAACUAAGAUGAAUCAAGAUCCUCUGAAAACUGGAGACUUCAGUCUGACUCUGGAACAUCCCAAACAUGGAGACAGUGGACGGUACAAAUGUAGAGUCUGGAGGGGAGACGAUUUCAUGAGAUGUAAAACAGUUCAGCUGAAAGUCAAAGGGAGAGUUCAGGUCCAGGAUCAGAAGACAUCAGGAACAGAAGCAGAUCCGACUCCUCUGAUGGCUGAUCAAUCAGUCUGAUCUUUGAUUAUUGAUCCAAUCUGACUUUGGAUCAGAGAGAAAAUAUCAGUGAAGGAUCUGAUGGACGAUGGAUGAAGAGAGGACUUGUUCCAGCCUGCAGACGUAGUAUUGAUCAGUAGUGAUCAGUGAUGUCAGAGUGGAGUCAGUGUGAUGUCACAUGUUGAUCAGCUGUGUGUUUUGGACUCCAGCAUCUUGUUGUUGUUUGUUUUAGACUCUUAGUGUCAUGAAGGCGUCCUGCCGUAGAUCCUGUUAACUGUGACAGAGGUCUCACUCUGGACCAAACUUUCCAGCAUCGUGGAGGACGUUCCCUCACCGUAACAUCUGGAGGAAGAGGAGAGAGAACUUUCCAGAUGUUCCCUCACCGUAACAUCUGGAGGAAGAGGAGAGGGAACUUUCCAGAUGUUCCCUCACCGUAACAUCUGGAGGAAGAGGAGAGGGAACUUUCCAGAUGUUCCCUCACCGUAACAUCU